AUGCAUCAUCAGUGUGGAAGCGAGCGCGAGACGCAACGCGGCGGCACACGUACCAACACAGCGACGGCGCCGCUGCCAGCUUCUUCUCGGCCUCUCCUUUCCAGGUCCGUCUACGGCGUCUCAUCAUCUACUCAUCUCCCUCCAUUCUUUUCAAAGGAAACAAAAGCUUUGUAUAGCUACUGUUUAAAGAAGAGAAAUGAGUAUAAAGAAGAGACCUUGGUCAUGGAACUUUCUACGUCUCGGCAUCCUCCGCGUUCGCGCAAUGCUUACUACUUUGGUUACCCUUUCUUAUCUUACGGAAACAACACUGCUGCUCACCCGAUAUCUGGGCCAGAUCUUCUAAGAACCACCAAAAAUAUGGUCUGGCGUAUCAUGACGGAACCAAAGGGGGAAGCUUCCACAAUAAUAGAAAAAGAAAAGAAGAGGAAGAUGAUUUCACUGCUUUAUUAUUAG
Molecule: ribosomal RNA, 453 nt
Filed under: Triticum aestivum (bread wheat)
Lineage: Eukaryota; Viridiplantae; Streptophyta; Magnoliopsida; Poales; Poaceae
Description: partial small subunit ribosomal RNA
Source: RNAcentral